Molecule: transfer RNA, 78 nt
Filed under: Marmota monax (woodchuck)
Lineage: Eukaryota; Metazoa; Chordata; Mammalia; Rodentia; Sciuridae
Rfam family: tRNA
About the family: Transfer RNA (tRNA) molecules are approximately 80 nucleotides in length. Their secondary structure includes four short double-helical elements and three loops (D, anti-codon, and T loops). Further hydrogen bonds mediate the characteristic L-shaped molecular structure. tRNAs have two regions of fundamental functional importance: the anti-codon, which is responsible for specific mRNA codon recognition, and the 3' end, to which the tRNAs corresponding amino acid is attached (by aminoacyl-tRNA synthetases). tRNAs cope with the degeneracy of the genetic code in two manners: having more than one tRNA (with a specific anti-codon) for a particular amino acid; and 'wobble' base-pairing, i.e. permitting non-standard base-pairing at the 3rd anti-codon position.
Source: Rfam by way of RNAcentral
AGGGAUGUAACUCAGUGGGAGAGCAUUUGCUUAGCAAAUGCGUGCGCAAGGCCCUGGGUUCAAUCUCCAGCAUCCCCC